UACGUAGGGUGCGAGCGUUAAUCGGAAUUACUGGGCGUAAAGCGUGCGCAGGCAGCGCGUUAAGACAGGUGUGAAAGCCCCGAGCUUAACUUGGGAAUUGCGCUUGUGACUGGCGUGCUGGAGUGUGGCAGAGGGAGGUGGAAUUCCACGUGUAGCAGUGAAAUGCGUAGAGAUGUGGAGGAACACCGAUGGCGAAGGCAGCCUCCUGGGCCAGCACUGACGCUCAUGCACGAAAGCGUGGGGAGCAAACAGG
Molecule: ribosomal RNA, 253 nt
Filed under: uncultured bacterium
Lineage: Bacteria
Description: partial 16S ribosomal RNA
Rfam family: Bacterial small subunit ribosomal RNA
Source: RNAcentral